GUGCUCACUUCAGCAGCCCAUAUACUAAAAUUGGAAUGAUACAGAAAGGAUAACCUGGCCUCUGCACAAGCAUUCCAUAUUUUUGAAAUAAAUGUCCAACAUCUCC
RNAcentral lists this small nuclear RNA (106 nucleotides) under Sciurus vulgaris (Eurasian red squirrel). Lineage: Eukaryota; Metazoa; Chordata; Mammalia; Rodentia; Sciuridae. The record is from RNAcentral.